Molecule: non-coding RNA, 23 nt
Filed under: Cricetulus griseus (Chinese hamster)
Lineage: Eukaryota; Metazoa; Chordata; Mammalia; Rodentia; Cricetidae
Source: RNAcentral
UGACCACGCGGAUGAGCAGAAGU